Molecule: ribosomal RNA, 253 nt
Filed under: uncultured bacterium
Lineage: Bacteria
Description: partial 16S ribosomal RNA
Rfam family: Bacterial small subunit ribosomal RNA
Source: RNAcentral
UACAGAGGGUGCGAGCGUUAAUCGGAAUUACGGGGCGUAAAGCGCACGUAGGUGGCUUGGCAAGUCGGGUGUGAAAUCCCCGGGCUCAACCUGGGAACUGCAUUCGAGACUGCCUUGCUAGAGUAUGGGAGAGGGAAGUGGAAUUUCCGGUGUAGCGGUGAAAUGCGUAGAUAUCGGAAGGAACAUCAGUGGCGAAGGCGACUUCCUGGACCAAUACUGACACUCAGGUGCGAAAGCGUGGGGAGCAAACAGG